This 405-nucleotide ribosomal RNA is filed under the name uncultured prokaryote. RNAcentral's name for it is "bacterial SSU rRNA". It matches the Rfam family "Bacterial small subunit ribosomal RNA", at positions 355 to 774 of the family's 1533-position model. The record is from RNAcentral.
UGGGGGAUAUUGCACAAUGGACGAAAGUCUGAUGCAGCAACGCCGCGUGAGGGAAGACGGUCUUCGGAUUGUAAACCUUUAACUUUGGGGAAGAAAAAAAUGACGGUACCCAAAGGGGCAGCCACGGCUAACUACGUGCCAGCAGCCGCGGUAAUACGUAGGUGGCAAGCGUUGUCCGGAAUUACUGGGUGUAAAGGGAGCGCAGGCGGGGAGGCAAGUCAGCUGUGAAAUACACGGGCUUAACCCGUGAAUUGCAGUUGAAACUGCUUUUCUUGAGUGGAGUAGAGGUAGGCGGAAUUCCGAGUGUAGCGGUGAAAUGCGUAGAUAUUCGGAGGAACACCAGUGGCGAAGGCGGCCUACUGGGCUCUAACUGACGCUGAGGCUCGAAAGUGUGGGGAGCAAACA